Molecule: long non-coding RNA, 345 nt
Organism: Triplophysa dalaica
Lineage: Eukaryota; Metazoa; Chordata; Actinopteri; Cypriniformes; Nemacheilidae
Exons: 3
Source: RefSeq, a predicted model, not a curated record
CAAACUACACACUCGCUACCGCCUCUCCAGUAACGCAAUCCCGAGGACAGUUAUUUCUAACUGGCCAAUAUUUAUAAGAAAAUACACACAUUUGCCCUAAUGCGUUAUUCAAAGGACAAAGUUUAAUAAACAUCCGCUGCUGUUGUUGAUUACUGCUCGUCACUUGUGGCGCGUGAGCGGUGGGAUCUUAUCAAAGCUUGAUGAGCGCGAGAGGUGAAGGGCGGGACUGGACAUCACAGCCCAGGUUGCCAGGUGAGCAUCUUUUACAGAGGACUGUUCUUACCUGCUGAUAAGAAGUCGUGUAAACCAUCACAUUUUGUUGCUGUCCGUCAGCUGUUAUAAUCC